Long non-coding RNA from Rhea pennata, 2315 nucleotides. RefSeq lists it as uncharacterized. The transcript is spliced from 3 exons. The record is from RefSeq and is a predicted model, not a curated record. NCBI's taxonomy places the organism in Eukaryota, Metazoa, Chordata, Aves, Rheiformes, Rheidae.
UGAGCAGUGGCUGUUAUCUCCAUCAAGCGAAUACGGCUUCUGUGGCUCAGCUGCAGUUACAGUAGUUGCAGGAGGAGUGUGCCAGCCAGAGGGAAGACAGUGUCUAAAGCCCGUGGCCUGAAGGCCUCUAGACGCUAUCCAACUGCCAAACAAGUUGAGGGUUCAGUGAACAGAGCUUUAAAGAACGACCAAAAUUAGCACCAGGAAUGCAGUUCAGCGGAGAAGAUAUAAAACAGGUCAAAUCAGGAUUCUUUUCAAGAAACCACAGGCAUGUGCUAAGGAGACUGAAGACUUCCCACAUCUAAGGCUUCACUGGGGGGCUGUAGCUGAAGUCUCGCCAAGCAAGGCAUGCCCUAGCAAAGCCCAAUCCACAAGUGAGGUCGGCACAAUCAAAGACUGCAAUUACAGCUCCCUGGCUGUGGUUAGGCUUCAAAGAAAGUGCUGCAAGUCACAUUUUACAUAUGUGAAGUCUUGAGCCUGAGCCACAAUAGGAGGCACUGUCUGUGCCAUUUGCAGUGUACAUGACUGCAGGAGGGAAGAGAAAAAACUUGAAUAAGAAACAGAAAUAAAUUCAACAAUAAUUCAGUGUAAGAAGAAAAGCCUCACUACCGACAUGAUAAACUGGAUUUCAGGAAUCGCUGCAGUAAGAAUAAAGCCUCCUAACAAGCCAGGGCUCAGUGGCUGAGGGCGAGCAUUAGAGAGGGAUCAAAAUUCCUCCCCCACUCUUUGAAAUGAGAUGGAUUGAAGGGUGGGUCCACAAAGGCCUUACGCUCCUCCUCUCUUCUUCCCUAGUCUUUAACUCAUCUGCAUUUUGCUGGAACAAGUUAGGGAGGAUUAUGCAGCUUCAUCCAGGUCAUGCUAAUUGGAAGAGCUAGCUGAAGAAACUUAAAAGGGUCUGGGUAUGUAAAGGAGCAAGUAGAGAGUAAGAGAGAAAGCUAACCUUCACAGAAGGCAAGACGAAGAACUUCAAAACAGGCCUUAUUUUCUUCACCUUUCUCCUACUAUUGGUUAUUUUCAUACAGAUGUAAAGAGAGUCAGGAAGACAGAUAGGUGUAUAUGUGGGGUUUUUUUUUUAAAAAAAGACUAAACCUGGCUUUUAAUCCAGUACUUCAAACAACAUGGCAAACUCAGGGGCCCAACGACUGGACUGAAAACUGCAUCAUUUUCUUCUGAAGUCCAAAACAAACAAGUUCAGCGUAGUGCCAGCAUUUAGUCAAUACUGCAGAAACUUGAGUAUGCAAAACCAGGCCGUUAUGUAGCAGAAAGGUUCGCUCCGUGUGUGAAGCCCCUUUGUGUUUUCUUAAGCAGCAGAGCUGUAAAGAGAUUCAAGCACAAGACGGAUGCAGGCACUGCAGUCUGCUCCCCUUCCUGCCCAGCUGUGCCAUGGUUUGUGGGGUUAGCCUAAACCAAAUCCUUAAAAUGUUCUGGGCGAACAAAAACAAACACUCCAUAACCUUUGUUGUUUUUAAACAAAAAAAAACCCACCUCCCAACAAAACCCUAAUCAUUUCAGUAAUCCGAUUUGCUGCAGGGUCCUGCAAGCUGUUACAGCACACGGACAGAGACACCUACGGGAGACAGGACCAAGCUCUCCCUGCAAGAGCUGGAUACGAGCAGGCAGCAGAGGAAACCUUUUAAGCUGCCUUUGUUGCCAAAGAAACUACAUAAAACUCUACCCUGAAACUCUAACAGAUAUUGCUGUGCUGAAGCUAUGUCAACGACAAUAAUUCUUCUUAUUUUUUUUUUCCUUGCUACUGUUAACCUCAGCCCGUUGCUGGUAACUGUGGAAGGAGUCGAAAUAUCGACUAGUGUUUUAAGAUGCCUUGAAGUAGCUCCCCCCGAAAAUACCUCUGCACCGACUACAGACAGAGCCUCGUGUCCUAACUUCUGCCUGCUUGCUUGGGCCUAAGCUAGAUGCACUGAGUAAGCAGCAGCAAUACUCUUUCCCUCUUAUGAGUCAGAGACCUAUUUCAGUGCAGGUUAGUAUCAGUGCUGGAAACACCCAGGUAUUUUAAGGCUGGUACUUUGUACAGCUGAAGUUAGCGAUGCCAACACAGGCAUCACCCCUUACCAAAGGACCCCAGCAUAGGCAGUAUGAAACUGGAAGCUCUGUCGCUGAGCAGCAAUCUAAAAUGAUUCUGCUGGACGAUCUGUGACGUGUUUUUCCUCUUGGGAGGAUGGGGAGGUUCCAUACUUAAAAUAAUAAACAGGUUAACUCUAGACAGCUGUCUCUAGUAGCUCCUCAGAGAAGGAUAAUAUACUAAAAAUGAUGUGCAAGAGAAGCAAAAAUAAAAGAGCGUGCACCUCUUUUGUAUA